CUGUGGGAGAAAGUUGUGCUGUUCGAGAGACUGAGCAGUACACACCAUAUCAGACACAAAGAAUGAGCCCCUGAGCACCAGACGGUCUGAUGAAAAGGAUAAAGGAUGAAAUUGCGGAUUUAAUUCAUCAUGGAAAGGUUUGCUGUCCCUGCUCUAACCUGAGUAACUGGCAGCAGCCCCAAGACAUUUUCUACAGCCUACAAGAGAAAUGAGCAAAACUGACCACAGAAGAGGGUGAGCAGCCAAGAGAGAAAACAAAAAGCCUAUCCUGGAAAAUAUAUUGCAUCAAUGAAUGAUCUGAAGUGCAUUAUCACCGGCAGGCGGAGAGAAUACAGUUUUUAAUGGAGAUGCGAUGGCAAACUUUUACACACUGUUGCGGUUUGGGGAUAGGCUUGUGUAUGGGGAAUAGGGGGUGUCAGAAGGCACUAUAAUUAUAACAAAUAAAUGAAAAUUAGCCAUUUGGAAUAAAAUAUGCACAUGGUGCCUAUUAAAGCUACUGAUGGUGAGCAGGGCCUGGCGGCAUUCAAGGCUUACUUUCUGAGCACCGUUUUGCUGUGUGUUUUGCCCUCACACGACCAACCUCUUAUGGUUUUCACCCUUGGGUCUGAAGUCAGCAGGUGAUCAUGUAUUUGCUGCAGUGGGCUACAGGGCGUGGGAUAUCCUCUUUGCAAUCUUAUUGUGCCUCUCUUGUUUCCCCGCCACACUCCUGUCCUCUCGCUCAAACCUACCUUCAGAAAAAAAAUUAUUUUUAAUGUUGAGUCCAUAUGUAGAACCUUUCCCCUUCCUUUUAAAUAGGACCCCUGGGUACAUGUGUUCUUAAUGAAGGUGGCAUUUUUACCUGUUUGUAAUUUGUCAAAAUUAGUAUUAAUACUAUUAACAUUAUAAUAGAGCAAUCUGAAAGGCAAGAAACAGAUCCCUGGUUGAUGUAAAUUAGCACAGCUCCAUUGAUUAGAAUGUAGCUAUGCUGGCUGAUUCACCUCAGGCUUGGAUCUGCUCCUCUUUCUUUCCUGGGAAUCUGUCUUGUCAUUGAAAAGCAGGCACUUCUCCCCUUACAUUGGCUUUUUUGGUGAGCCUGAUGACCAGCUUCAGGAGAAAACUUCAUCUUCUAAGCCACCUGUUUUCAGCCACCAUCAUCAUCCUGUAAUUAAAUGGGACACAGUGAAUGAGCUUGGGAGAGUGCGUUGCUCUCCGGGGCUUUGUUUGACAAUGUUAAUGCAAGAAACAGCUGUUAUGUUUAAGAAAUGUGAGUGAUUAUAGUGUAACAAUUAAAAUGGAGA
Mauremys mutica (yellowpond turtle) is the source of this 1277-nucleotide long non-coding RNA. RefSeq lists it as uncharacterized. The transcript is spliced from 3 exons. NCBI's taxonomy places the organism in Eukaryota, Metazoa, Chordata, Testudines, Geoemydidae. The record is from RefSeq and is a predicted model, not a curated record.